CCGCACCCAGGGAAGCAUAGGCAUAGCAGAGGCGCUCCAUUAAUCCCCUCCAGUGAUCUCCUCAAGCAGGGCAAAGCAUAUUCCGCUUCCCCCUCCCCCCAUUUCCCCAAACGCCGCCUCUGGCUCCGGCCUCGCCGCCCGGCCUUCAUGGACCCCGCCGCCGACCAGUCCCCGGAGGAGGUGUACUCCGUCUGGGCCCUCCCGCCGGAGCCCGUCCGCGCCCGCCUCCGCGGCCUCAUGGCCGGCCUCCGCGCCGCGCACGGCGGCCCGGCCUUCGAGCCGCACGCCACCGUCGUCGGCGCCGUCCGCAUGCGCCGUUCAGCGGCCGUCGAGGCGCUCCGUGCCGCCGCCGCGGCGGCCGUCGUCCGCCCCUACACCGCCCGCGUCACCGGCGUCGCCCGGGGGGACUUCUUCUACCAGUGCGUCUACCUCCUCCUCGAACCCACCCCCGAGGUGAACCAAGCAAGCGAUCACUUCUGUGCACACUUUGGGUUUCAGAGAUCAACUCCAUAUAUGCCCCAUGUCAGUGUCUUGUACGGAGACCUGACAGACGAGGAGAAGGAAUCAGCAAGGAAGAAGGUCGAGGAAAUGGACAAUGAAAUAUGUGGACUGCAGUUUGAGAUCUCAGAGCUUGCACUUUACAGAACGGACACAGAGGAUAAGAGCUUGGAAUCCUGGGAAUUGGUGGAGGUAUGCCACCUUGAGAAGAAGUGAUCAGUUUCCUCCCAAUGAUGCUUCUACUGUGACGUGCUUGAUAUUUGUCAUUUUGGUCCUGAGCUUUAUGGAGUAGUCAGGCACUCACUUCGUAGAUAUUUCGGCUUGGGUUCAUAAGUCAUCUGAUUACUAGCAUUGUUGGGUAUACUGGAGCAAGCCUGUGAAGUGUGAACUAUGGGCGAUUGUUCGCAUAAUGCCCUUGGCGUGUUUUUGGGUUCUCAUUCCAACUGCAUGUUUAUACUGGUUAGUAAUAAGCAUUUCCCCCUGUAUUUUUGAGGUAUAUGCUCAUAUUGUUUGGUGCUGGCAUGUAAUACACUUACACAAAGCUAACAGAUUUCAUCCCUUCUGAAAACUCAUUUUCCUUAUAGCGUAGGGUCAUUACGUCAUCCAAAUUCAGGGAUUGUGGAAACGGGCUAGUAAGAAUAGGGAAACAUAUAUUUGGAGCCUACUUACUUGCACUAAGUCCAGGAUCCUGGCCGCAUUAACAUCGUUUACAAGCAAAGUAGAAUCCACUUUCACAUGGGGUAAAAUAUGAAUAUAUACCUUUGAAGGCUUUUACUUCAGGCUGUCCUCAGUGUCACAUAGAGAUGACACCAAACAAAAACAUCACAUAGCGAAAAGUCUACAUGGUAGGAGGAUCGGAAGGCUGGCAUGAAAUAAUUGUAAUUGUACAGGCCCUUGUGGCUUGUAGUGGCUAUGUACUGGGCAAAAUAUCUGAUUUGAUAAUGAGAUGCUCUGAACAAGGAAGGGCUGUGCUCCUUACAUAUCCUCGGUGACUCAAAUAGGAAAGGAGAAGCAUCUCUUUUGCCAAGAUAACAAUGUUCCCAGAAGGUAUAAGAUUAAAUAUGAGAACCAAUUGAAUAUUCCAUGUUCUCUUUUGUAUCUUUAUUGAGAGGACAAUAUGCCGGCCUUCAAGGAGUCGUCUGGAUGCUUGGUGGGGAACGGUGCUACUAUCUCCCUCUGGAAUGAUUCUUGGACUUUUACUGCUGCCCCUGAUCAAGAUCUUUGGCUAAGUAUUUGGGGAAAUGGUUCUUUUCUGACCAGGCACUUCUAUGCUAGCUGUUUCCCUCCCUAUCGUCGUAGCUUCGUCCUUUCUGCCAUCUGGAACGCAACUGUCCCUAAGAUCAAGGGCUUCAGCUGGCUGCUGCUUCUUGACCGGCUCAACACCAGAGACCUCAUGGAUCGUAAGCACUGUAAUAAGGGUCUCUGUCAUGCAUCAUUUGCAAUCUUGGAUCAAGGAAUCUCGGAAUCACCUGUUCUUUCAAUGCCUCUUCAGUCAGGAUUGUUGGGCCUCCUUGGGUGGAAAUUCUUUGGCCCAAUGGUUCCGUAUGGCCAAUCUUCCCUUGCAAACCCCUGCGCUUCAGAAAUCUUCUUCACGGCUUGUUGAUAUCUGGAAGCAGCGCAAUGCUUUGAUUUUCAACCAAAUUCCGGCCUCCCGCGCUUCCUGGCUUUUAAACUUCAAAGAGGAUCUUCUGUCCCAAAGUAUUCGGUUGAUGGCGCGAAAGCAGCCCUUCUCCAGUGGCUUGUUUCAGUCUCCUUUGUGCCUUAAACUGGGAGUAUUAUCUCGUACAUUUCGCUAGCCCAACUAUGACUGUAUACUUGUUUGGGAAUAAAGAAACUGAGGAGCAAUAGUUUUACUUAUGUAAUUUUUAAAUUUCCCUUAUUUAUAUCAUUGUGUGUGACCACUGACUAGCAGGCAGCUGGGUCUAAGUUUAUUCUAGGGUGAGUUUAUAUUGUCUCAUUUGAAAAUAUACUUGAUUAAAUGUAUGUAUCAUUGUGGUGUGACAUGGAUCAACCAUUCACUCCGGCACUUGGUUCACAGGGAGGCUGCUCGGUGCUCCCUCUUCUGUAUGAGAUUCUGUAUAAAUCUUGCAUAACUGCGAUGGUGGAUGCUA
Molecule: RNA transcript, 2609 nt
Organism: Brachypodium distachyon (stiff brome)
Lineage: Eukaryota; Viridiplantae; Streptophyta; Magnoliopsida; Poales; Poaceae
Gene name: cyclic phosphodiesterase
Exons: 8
Source: RefSeq, a predicted model, not a curated record